GUCCUUUCGUUUUUUUGGAAGGUCUGGCCUGCCCAGUGAAUAAGUAUUUAACGGCCGCGGUAUAUUGACCGUGCAAAGGUAGCAUAAUCAUUAGUCUUUUAAUAGGAGGCUGGAAUGAAAGGUUUAACGAAACAUUAGCUGUCUCAUUUGUAUAAUUAAAAUUUAACUUUUGAGUUAAAAGACUUAAAUGUAGUUGUUGGACGAGAAGACCCUAUAGAGCUUUACAUUAAUUAUUUUAAUUAUUAUUUUGUUUAAUAAUUUAUUAUUAAUAUAAUUGUUGUUUUGUUGGGGUGACAAAUACAUAUGUUUAACUUUUUUAUUUUAUAAUCAUUAAUUUAUGUUUAUUGGAUCCAAUAAUAUUGAUCAUUAGAUUAAGUUACCUUAGGGAUAACAGCGUAAUCUUCUUUCAGAGUUCAAAUUUACAAGAAGGCUUGCGACCUCGAUGUUGGAUUAAGAUAAUAAUUAGGUGCAGUAGUUUAAUUAAUAGGUCUGUUCGACCUUUAAAUUCUUACAUGAUCUGAGUUCAGACCGG
RNAcentral lists this ribosomal RNA (532 nucleotides) under Papuagrion occipitale. RNAcentral's name for it is "partial 16S ribosomal RNA". It matches the Rfam family "Bacterial large subunit ribosomal RNA", at positions 1831 to 2619 of the family's 2925-position model. The record is from RNAcentral. Lineage: Eukaryota; Metazoa; Arthropoda; Insecta; Odonata; Coenagrionidae.